UACGUAGGGUCCGAGCGUUGUCCGGAAUUAUUGGGCGUAAAGAGCUCGUAGGUGGUGUGUCGCGUCUGCUGUGCAAGUCCGGGGCUUAACCCCGGUUUUGCAGUGGAUACGGGCAUACUAGAGGUAGGUAGGGGAGACUGGAAUUCCUGGUGUAGCGGUGAAAUGCGCAGAUAUCAGGAGGAACACCGGUGGCGAAGGCGGGUCUCUGGGCCUUACCUGACGCUGAGGUGCGAAAGUGUGGGGAGCAAACAGG
This 253-nucleotide unclassified non-coding RNA is filed under the name uncultured Nocardiopsaceae bacterium. Its description in RNAcentral is "contains 16S-23S intergenic spacer region". It matches the Rfam family "Bacterial small subunit ribosomal RNA", at positions 524 to 776 of the family's 1533-position model. The record is from RNAcentral. Lineage: Bacteria; Bacillati; Actinomycetota; Actinomycetes; Streptosporangiales; Nocardiopsidaceae.